CCUGAGAAACGGCUACUACAUCCAAGGAAGGCAGCAGGCACGCAAAUUACCCACUCCCGGCACGGGGAGGUAGUGACAAAAAAUAACGAUACGGGACUCAUCCGAGGCCCCGUAAUCGGAAUGAGUACACUUUAAAACCUUUAACAAGUACCAAAUGGAGGGCAAGUCUGGUGCCAGCAGCCGCGGUAAUUCCAGCUCCAUUAGCGUAUAUUAAAGUUGUUGCGGUUAAAAAGCUCGUAGUUGGUUCUGUGUCCCGCGCUGCCGGUUCACCGCCUGCCGGUGCAACUGGCAUGCCGCGGGAUGUACUGUCGGUGGCGUCCCCCACCCCCGGCGCGUGUAGGCUAACGCCGAAGCGCGCCGGUGCGUGUGAGGGACGCCGAUCUAAUCCUGCCGCGGUGCUCUUCAGUGAGUGUCGAGGUAGGCCGACACGUUUACUUUGAACAAAUUAGAGUGCUUAAAGCAGGCUAACAAUGCCUGUAUACCUGGGCAUGGAAUAAUGGAAUAGGACCUCGGUUCUAUUUUGUUGGUUUCCUGAACCCGAGGUAAUGAUCAAUAUGGACAGGCGGGGGCAUUCGUAUUGCGACGUUAGACUUGGCAAAUGCUUUCGC
This 608-nucleotide ribosomal RNA is filed under the name Limnocoris lutzi. RNAcentral's name for it is "bacterial SSU rRNA". It matches the Rfam family "Eukaryotic small subunit ribosomal RNA", at positions 395 to 931 of the family's 1831-position model. Lineage: Eukaryota; Metazoa; Arthropoda; Insecta; Hemiptera; Naucoridae. The record is from RNAcentral.